UAUUGUGUUUGUCAGUGCGGUAUA
Molecule: microRNA, 24 nt
Filed under: Bombyx mori (domestic silkworm)
Lineage: Eukaryota; Metazoa; Arthropoda; Insecta; Lepidoptera; Bombycidae
Description: bmo-miR-2847
Source: miRBase by way of RNAcentral